Molecule: ribosomal RNA, 179 nt
Filed under: uncultured bacterium
Lineage: Bacteria
Description: partial 16S ribosomal RNA
Rfam family: Bacterial small subunit ribosomal RNA
Source: RNAcentral
AUGAAGCCGGAAUUGCUAGUAAUGGCAGGUCAGCAUACUGCCGUGAAUACGUUCCCGGGCCUUGUACACACCGCCCGUCACACCAUGAGAGUUGGGAAUACCCGAAGCCUGUGAGCUAACGAAAGAGGCAGCAGUCGAAGGUAGAAUCAAUGAUUGGGGUGAAGUCGUAACAAGGUAGC